UACGAAGGGUGCUAGCGUUGUUCGGAAUCACUGGGCGUAAAGCGCGCGUAGGCGGUUUUUCAAGUCAGGGGUGAAAGCCCAGAGCUUAACUCUGGAAUUGCCUUUGAAACUGAAAAACUGGAGUGUCGGAGGGGAUAGCGGAAUUGCUAAUGUAGAGGUGAAAUUCGUAGAUAUUAGCAGGAACACCGGUGGCGAAGGCGGCUAUCUGGACGACAACUGACGCUGAGGCGCGAAAGCGUGGGGAUCAAACAGG
This 253-nucleotide ribosomal RNA is filed under the name uncultured bacterium. RNAcentral describes it as "partial 16S ribosomal RNA". It matches the Rfam family "Bacterial small subunit ribosomal RNA", at positions 524 to 776 of the family's 1533-position model. The record is from RNAcentral.